This 583-nucleotide ribosomal RNA is filed under the name Ovatospora senegalensis. RNAcentral's name for it is "partial large subunit ribosomal RNA". It matches the Rfam family "Eukaryotic large subunit ribosomal RNA", at positions 47 to 656 of the family's 3401-position model. The record is from RNAcentral. Lineage: Eukaryota; Fungi; Ascomycota; Sordariomycetes; Sordariales; Chaetomiaceae.
AAAGCGGAGGAAAAGAAACCAACAGGGAUUGCCCCAGUAACGGCGAGUGAAGCGGCAACAGCUCAAAUUUGAAAUCUGGCUUCGGCCCGAGUUGUAAUUUGUAGAGGAUGCUUUGGGCGCGGCGCCUUCUGAGUUCCCUGGAACGGGACGCCACAGAGGGUGAGAGCCCCGUAUAGUUGGACGCCUAGCCUGUGUAAAGCUCCUUCGACGAGUCGAGUAGUUUGGGAAUGCUGCUCAAAAUGGGAGGUAAAUUUCUUCUAAAGCUAAAUACCGGCCAGAGACCGAUAGCGCACAAGUAGAGUGAUCGAAAGAUGAAAAGCACUUUGAAAAGAGGGUUAAAUAGCACGUGAAAUUGUUGAAAGGGAAGCGCUUGUGACCAGACUUGCGCCGGGCCGAUCAUCCGGGGUUCUCCCCGGUGCACUCGGCCCGGCUCGGGCCAGCAUCGGUUCUCGCGGGGGGACAAAGGCCUCGGGAAUGUAGCUCCUCCGGGAGUGUUAUAGCCCGGGGCGUAAUGCCCUCGCGGGGACCGAGGUACGCGCAUCUGCAAGGAUGCUGGCGUAAUGGUCACCAGCGACCCGUCUUG